UACGGAGGGUGCAAGCGUUAUCCGGAUUUAUUGGGUUUAAAGGGUCCGUAGGCGGAUCUGUAAGUCAGUGGUGAAAUCUCAUAGCUUAACUAUGAAACUGCCAUUGAUACUGCAGGUCUUGAGUAAGGUAGAAGUAGCUGGAAUAAGUAGUGUAGCGGUGAAAUGCAUAGAUAUUACUUAGAACACCAAUUGCGAAGGCAGGUUACUAUGUCUUAACUGACGCUGAUGGACGAAAGCGUGGGGAGCGAACAGG
Molecule: ribosomal RNA, 253 nt
Filed under: uncultured bacterium
Lineage: Bacteria
Description: partial 16S ribosomal RNA
Rfam family: Bacterial small subunit ribosomal RNA
Source: RNAcentral